AGCAGCCGCGGUAAUUCCAGCUCCAAUAGCGUAUAUUAAAGUUGUUGCAGUUAAAAAGCUCGUAGUUGAAUUUUGGAUUCUGCCAAUUGGUCCAUCUUUUAGAUGAGUACUGGUUGUGUGGGGUCUAUCCGCCUGGUGAUACGUAAUGUCCUUUAUUGGAUGUUGCGGGUAGCCAGGACCUUUACCUUGAAAAAAUUAGAGUGUUUAAAGCAGGCUUAUGCCGGGAUACGAUAGCAUGGAAUAGUAGAAUAGGACGAAGUUGUUUUAUUUUGUUGGUUUCUAGGACAACCGUAAUGAUUAAUAGGGAUAGUUGGGGGCAUUAGUAUUCAAUUGUCAGAGGUGAAAUUCUUGGAUUUAUUGAAGACUAACUACUGCGAAAGCAUUUGCCAAGGAUGUUUUCAUUAAUCAAGAACGAAAGUUAGGGGAUCGAAGACGAUCAGAUACCGUCGUAGUCUUAACCAUAAACUAUGCCGACUAGGGAUCGGGCGAUGUUGUUUCCAUGACUCG
Molecule: ribosomal RNA, 507 nt
Filed under: uncultured Archaeosporaceae
Lineage: Eukaryota; Fungi; Glomeromycota; Glomeromycetes; Archaeosporales; Archaeosporaceae
Description: SSU rRNA
Rfam family: Eukaryotic small subunit ribosomal RNA
Source: RNAcentral